GCGGGUGGAUCCUGGGAAGCGCUUUGAAAUGGGCUGGCUCCCGAGCCAGCCGGGAGGACACUUACUACAGCUACUCAGAAGCACCGCUGGAAACUCAGGUAAUACCGGCACUUUGAAUUCCUUGUUUCAGGAAAAUAUCUGGGAUGUCACAGUGGAAAAACAGAACAGAAUAUAAUAUAGAAAGCUCUUUUCAGAUCCAAAGAACUGGAACCUGGUUGGAAGAAAUAGGCAGCAAAGUUCAUGUGCGCUGAAGUGUUCAGACCAAAAAGUUGCUUUAUAACAAUGGACAAAAGCAUUUGUGAAAGGUGACAAUAAGAGAAAAGGGGAAAAGAACUUUCUUAUGAAUCAUACAGAUACGGGGAAAAAAACAGGCAUGUUUAGAGAAAUGGAACCAAAUUUCAUGGAGUGGUGCCUGGAGCAGACCUACAGUGGAGAAGGAGCUAU
RNAcentral lists this small RNA (444 nucleotides) under Pongo abelii (Sumatran orangutan). Its description in RNAcentral is "retained intron". The record is from RNAcentral. Lineage: Eukaryota; Metazoa; Chordata; Mammalia; Primates; Hominidae.